Molecule: ribosomal RNA, 520 nt
Filed under: uncultured bacterium
Lineage: Bacteria
Description: bacterial SSU rRNA
Rfam family: Bacterial small subunit ribosomal RNA
Source: RNAcentral
UGCAAGCUGGCGGCAGCCUAAUACAUGCAGUCGAACGCUUCUACUAGUUGAGUGCUUGCACUCAGCUAGUUAGAGGAGUGGCGGACGGGUGAGUAACACGUGGGUAACCUGCCCAUAAGUGGGGGAUAACAUUCGGAAACGGAUGCUAAUACCGCAUAAUUCUGAUUGCCGCAUGGCAGACAGAUGAAAGGUGGCUUCGGCUACCGCUUAUGGAUGGACCCGCGGCGUAUUAGCUAGUUGGUGAGGUAAUGGCUCACCAAGGCAAUGAUACGUAGCCGACCUGAGAGGGUGAUCGGCCACACUGGGACUGAGACACGGCCCAGACUCCUACGGGAGGCAGCAGUAGGGAAUCUUCCGCAAUGGACGAAAGUCUGACGGAGCAAUGCCGCGUGAGUGAAGAAGGUUUUCGGAUCGUAAAACUCUGUUGUUAGAGAAGAACAAGGAUGAGAGUAACUGCUCAUCCCCUGACGGUAUCUAACCAGAAAGCCAUGGCUAACUACGUGCCAGCAGCCGCGGUAAU